GAUGGUGUAAUGGGUCAGUGUGUCUGGCUGUUAACUAGAAGGUUGAUGGUUCAAGACCACCCAGGGCA
This is a non-coding RNA of Podarcis lilfordi (Lilford's wall lizard), 68 nucleotides long. NCBI's taxonomy places the organism in Eukaryota, Metazoa, Chordata, Lepidosauria, Squamata, Lacertidae. The record is from the annotation of a GenBank genome assembly.